Molecule: ribosomal RNA, 490 nt
Filed under: uncultured bacterium
Lineage: Bacteria
Description: partial 16S ribosomal RNA
Rfam family: Bacterial small subunit ribosomal RNA
Source: RNAcentral
AUUGAACGCUGGCGGCAGGCCUAACACAUGCAAGUCGAACGGUAACAGGAAGCGGCUUGCUGCUUUGCUGACGAGUGUCGGACGGGUGUGUGAUGUCUGGGAAACUGCCUGAUGGAGGGGGAGAACUACUGGAAACGGUAACUAAUACCGCAUAACGUCCCAAGGCCAGAGAGGGGGACCUUCUGGCCUCUUGCCAUCGUAUGUGCCCAGAUGUGAUUUGCGAGUAGGUGGGGUAACGGCUCACCUAGGCGACGAUCCCUAGCCGGUCUGAGAGGAUGAACAGCCACACUGGAACUGAGACACGGUCCAGACUCCUACGGGAGGCAGCAGUGGGGAAUAUUGCACAAUGGGCGCAAGCCUGAUGCAGCCAUGCCGCGUGUAUGAAGAAGGCCUUCGGGUUGUAAAGCACUUUCAGCGGGGAGGAAGAGAGUAAAGUUAAUACCUCUCCUUAUUGACGUUACCCAAAGAAGAAGCACCGGCUAACUUCGUG